AGUCUGCAAGGGAAAUAUUUAUAGCUUUGGGAUGAGACUGUACGGUAUCAGCUAGUUGGUGAGGUAAUGGCUCACCAAGGCUAUGACAUCUAACUGGUUUGAGAGGAUGAUCAGUCACACUGGAACUGAGACACGGUCCAGACUCCUACGGGAGGCAGCANCUGGGGAAUAUUGCACAAUGGAGGAAACUCUGAUGCAGCAACGCCGCGUGGAGGAUGACACAUUUCGGUGCGUAAACUCCUUUUAUUAGGGAAGAUAAUGACGGUACCUAAUGAAUAAGCACCGGCUAACUCCGUGCCAGCAGCCGCGGUAAUACGGGGGGUGCAAGCGUUACUCGGAAUCACUGGGCGUAAAGAGAAUGUAGGCUGGUUAUUAAGUUGGAA
This 383-nucleotide ribosomal RNA is filed under the name uncultured bacterium. Its description in RNAcentral is "bacterial SSU rRNA". It matches the Rfam family "Bacterial small subunit ribosomal RNA", at positions 191 to 593 of the family's 1533-position model. The record is from RNAcentral.